AUCCAUCUGACGAGCCCCAGAUAGGAAGAAACGCGCGUCCUGGAU
Molecule: non-coding RNA, 45 nt
Organism: Schistosoma curassoni
Lineage: Eukaryota; Metazoa; Platyhelminthes; Trematoda; Strigeidida; Schistosomatidae
Source: Rfam